GACGAACGCUGGCGGCGUGCUUAACACAUGCAAGUCGAACGGAAAGGCCCUGCUUGCAGGGUACUCGAGUGGCGAACGGGUGAGUAACACGUGGGUGAUCUGCCCUGCACUUCGGGAUAAGCUUGGGAAACUGGGUCUAAUACCGGAUAGGACCGCACUUUAGUGUGCGUGGUGGAAAGUUUUUUCGGUGUAGGAUGAGCUCGCGGCCUAUCAGCUUGUUGGUGGGGUAAUGGCCUACCAAGGCGGCGACGGGUAGCCGGCCUGAGAGGGUGUACGGCCACAUUGGGACUGAGAUACGGCCCAGACUCCUACGGGAGGCAGCAGUGGGGAAUAUUGCACAAUGGGCGCAAGCCUGAUGCAGCGACGCCGCGUGGGGGAUGAAGGCCUUCGGGUUGUAAACUCCUUUCGCUAGGGACGAAGCUUUUUGUGACGGUACCUAGAUAAGAAGCACCGGCUAACUACGUG
RNAcentral lists this ribosomal RNA (465 nucleotides) under uncultured bacterium. Its description in RNAcentral is "partial 16S ribosomal RNA". It matches the Rfam family "Bacterial small subunit ribosomal RNA", at positions 28 to 507 of the family's 1533-position model. The record is from RNAcentral.